This 459-nucleotide ribosomal RNA is filed under the name uncultured bacterium. RNAcentral describes it as "partial 16S ribosomal RNA". It matches the Rfam family "Bacterial small subunit ribosomal RNA", at positions 338 to 795 of the family's 1533-position model. The record is from RNAcentral.
CCUACGGGCGGCAGCAGUGAGGAAUAUUGGUCAAUGGUCGGGAGACUGAACCAGCCAAGCCGCGUGAGGGAUGAAGGUACAGAGUAUCGUAAACCUCUUUUGUCAGGGAACAAAGGCGGGGACGUGUCCCCGGAUGAGUGUACCUGAAGAAAAAGCAUCGGCUAACUCCGUGCCAGCAGCCGCGGUAAUACGGAGGUUGCGAGCGUUAUCCGGAUUUAUUGGGGGAAAGGGGUUCGCAGGCGGUCUGUAAAGUCAGUGGUAAAAGCCCGGGGCUCACCCCCGGCCCGCCGUUGAAACUGGCAGUCUCGAGUUGGAGAGAAGUAUGCGGAAUGCGCGGUGUAGCGGUGAAAUGCAGAGAUAUCGCGCAGAACUCCAGUGGCGAAAGCGGCUCUCUGGUCUGUAACUGACGCUGAGGUUCGAAAGCGUGGGGAGCAAACAGGAUUAGAUACCCGAGUAGUC